Molecule: ribosomal RNA, 292 nt
Filed under: uncultured bacterium
Lineage: Bacteria
Description: partial 16S ribosomal RNA
Rfam family: Bacterial small subunit ribosomal RNA
Source: RNAcentral
GUGUCAGCAGCCGCGGUAAUACGAAGGGGGCUAGCGUUGUUCGGAAUCACUGGGCGUAAAGGGCGCGUAGGCGGCUAGAUAAGUCGGGGGUGAAAGCCUGUGGCUCAACCACAGAAUUGCCUUCGAUACUGUCUGGCUUGAGACCGGAAGAGGUUAGUGGAACUGCGAGUGUAGAGGUGAAAUUCGUAGAUAUUCGCAAGAACACCAGUGGCGAAGGCGGCUGACUGGUCCGGUUCUGACGCUGAGGCGCGAAAGCGUGGGGAGCAAACAGGAUUAGAUACCCCCGUAGUCC